This 1359-nucleotide ribosomal RNA is filed under the name uncultured bacterium. RNAcentral's name for it is "bacterial SSU rRNA". It matches the Rfam family "Bacterial small subunit ribosomal RNA", at positions 28 to 1381 of the family's 1533-position model. The record is from RNAcentral.
GAUGAACGCUAGCUACAGGCUUAACACAUGCAAGUCGAGGGGCAGCAUUUUAGUUUGCUUGCAAACUGAAGAUGGCGACCGGCGCACGGGUGAGUAACACGUAUCCAACCUGCCGAUAACUCCGGGAUAGCCUUUCGAAAGAAAGAUUAAUACCGGAUAGCAUACGAAUAUCGCAUGAUAUUUUUAUUAAAGAAUUUCGGUUAUCGAUGGGGAUGCGUUCCAUUAGUUUGUUGGCGGGGUAACGGCCCACCAAGACAACGAUGGAUAGGGGUUCUGAGAGGAAGGUCCCCCACAUUGGAACUGAGACACGGUCCAAACUCCUGCGGGAGGCAGCAGUGAGGAAUAUUGGUCAAUGGGCGAGAGCCUGAACCAGCCAAGUAGCGUGAAGGAUGAAGGCUCUAUGGGUCGUAAACUUCUUUUAUAUGGGAAUAAAGUAUUCCACGUGUGGAAUUUUGUAUGUACCAUAUGAAUAAGGAUCGGCUAACUCCGUGCCAGCAGCCGCGGUAAUACGGAGGAUCCGAGCGUUAUCCGGAUUUAUUGGGUUUAAAGGGAGCGUAGGUGGAUUGUUAAGUCAGUUGUGAAAGUUUGCGGCUCAACCGUAAAAUUGCAGUUGAAACUGGCAGUCUUGAGUACAGUAGAGGUGGGCGGAAUUCGUGGUGUAGCGGUGAAAUGCUUAGAUAUCACGAAGAACUCCGAUUGCGAAGGCAGCUCACUAGACUGUCACUGACACUGAUGCUCGAAAGUGUGGGUAUCAAACAGGAUUAGAUACCCUGGUAGUCCACACAGUAAACGAUGAAUACUCGCUGUUUGCGAUAUACAGUAAGCGGCCAAGCGAAAGCAUUAAGUAUUCCACCUGGGGAGUACGCCGGCAACGGUGAAACUCAAAGGAAUUGACGGGGGCCCGCACAAGCGGAGGAACAUGUGGUUUAAUUCGAUGAUACGCGAGGAACCUUACCCGGGCUUAAAUUGCAACAGAAUAUAUUGGAAACAGUAUAGCCGUAAGGCUGUUAUGAAGGUGCUGCAUGGUUGUCGUCAGCUCGUGCCGUGAGGUGUCGGCUUAAGUGCCAUAACGAGCGCAACCCUUAUCUUUAGUUACUAACAGGUCAUGCUGAGGACUCUAGAGAGACUGCCGUCGUAAGAUGUGAGGAAGGUGGGGAUGACGUCAAAUCAGCACGGCCCUUACGUCCGGGGCUACACACGUGUUGCAAUGGGGGGUACAGAAGGCGGCUACCUGGUGACAGGAUGCUAAUCCCAAAAACCUCUCUCAGUUCGGAUCGAAGUCUGCAACCCGACUUCGUGAAGCUGGAUUCGCUAGUAAUCGCGCAUCAGCCAUGGCGCGGUGAAUACGUUCCCGGGCCU